ACAGAAGGCUGGACGGCCGCGCGUGAGGCCUUGGCCUCUCUUGCGAGGAAAGUCCGGGCUCCCCAAAGCAACGGUGCCGGGUAACGCCCGGGCAGGGCAACCUGACGGAUAGCGCCACAGAAAACAAACCGCCUUGCAUGUCGAGGUAAGGAUGAAACGGUGGGGUAAGAGCCCACCGCGUGUCUGGCAACAGAUGCGGCAUGGCAAGCCCCACUGGGAGCAAUGCCAAAUAGGGUCCCCGCGCGGGCAGGUCGGCUUUUGUCGAUACCGCCGCUAGGUAAGCUUUGACCGAGAGGGACCGGGUUGGCAGCUAGAGGCGUCUGGCAACAGGCGUCGCAGAUGAAUGGUCGUCGAAGGGGCGUAAGCCCCGGGACAGAACCCGGCUUACAGGCCUUCUGUGCAU
RNAcentral lists this RNase P RNA (403 nucleotides) under Epibacterium ulvae. RNAcentral's name for it is "Bacterial RNase P class A". It matches the Rfam family "Bacterial RNase P class A". Rfam says of the family: Ribonuclease P (RNase P) is a ubiquitous endoribonuclease, found in archaea, bacteria and eukarya as well as chloroplasts and mitochondria. Its best characterised activity is the generation of mature 5'-ends of tRNAs by cleaving the 5'-leader elements of precursor-tRNAs. The record is from Rfam by way of RNAcentral. Lineage: Bacteria; Pseudomonadati; Pseudomonadota; Alphaproteobacteria; Rhodobacterales; Roseobacteraceae.